CCCUCAUGAAGCUUGCAUUCUUGAUGGCAUGUAAGGGGUGGGGGGCAGGAAAACAAAAUGCCAAGCAUGAUAAGAAGGGCACUCGAUGGGUGAUGAGGCUGGGGCAAAAAUAAAAGGCAGAGGAGGUGAAAGAUCUCACCUGGAUGGAGCCCCUCAGGUAGUUGUCGCCGUCCUCAUGUCCUGAGGUCUCAGUCUAGGGCUUAGAAGUGUUGGUGACCUGCUGGGCUGCCUCCCCGACCCCGUGGACUGUUUGACUCUAGGCCCAACUUCCUUAUGUAUAUAUGGGAUAUAAAAGAACCUGUCUUAUAGAGGCUCAGCACCUAGCAGGCGCUGUGCUCUGCACCAUCUUAGCAUCAUCUUUAUCCAAGGACAAUUAGGAAAGGGUCGGGAGAAGACCUUGGGACCAGUAGCCCCCACCUCUGUCUGCCCAAGCCUCUUCUCUGCUGACCCAGCUGUGGAGGAAGGAGCUAGGUCCCCCACGGUGCCGUGCAGGCCCAUGCCUCUGCUGGAGGCAUGUGACAUAUUGUGGCCUGAUGUGGUCUGUUUUUCCCCUCCUGGUGCAAGACAUGACUCAGAGGGCCGUGCUGGGGGAAUGCUUCCUCUGGCAUGCCCACCUCAUCGCCCCUGCUUUCUUUUGAAUCGUUGAAUCAGACUUUAUAUCUGGCUCUGCCAUUCACUGGCCUUAUUUAUGCAGAAAAAAAACGGCCCCACAGUUCCAACUUGCUCAACAGCCCGAAAGACUUAGCUUUGGCCCCGAGGAGGGAAGGAGGGUGGGUGGGUUCCCAAACGAGGGGAAAAAGAAAGAAAAAGAAAGAGCCAUCAACAAUCAAAACAAUGUCCUCCGCCCUGUCUAAUCUGGGUAGCUUUCAGGGUUGGGGUAACGCGUUUCCACAGUGGAUCCCCCCCUUCACCCCCUCCCAGGCUGUUUUCACAGGAAGCGAAUCCUGGGGCGUUUUCAACGUGCCCCUCCAGGCAGAACAAUGAGGCCCUUGAAGCCUGGGAUCCUCGCUUCCUCCUGUUAUCCCGGAGCAGGCGAGGGAGUCUGCGCGCGGAGGGGACCCCGGGACCUACGCAGGGCCAGCGGUGGGGGAGGGCCUGGCCUGCAGGGUGUCGCCGAGCCGCCCCGGGGAAGCCCGGCAGCCAAAUCACAGCAAAGGCUGGAGCUGGCCUAAAUGCCUAUUAUUACCUGGAGACCAACUCAAUGAAGGAUUUAUGCAACUGAGUAUGGUAUAGUAUGCAUGACUAUAACACACACACACACACACACAGACACACAGACACACACACACACACACACACAGACACACACACACACACACACACACUUUGCCUUUAUAUACUUCCUUCUGGAAGGACAAAGAUAUGUGAACAAAGGCUGCUCUGGGGAGCAAAGCCAAGAUCCAGAAGACUCUGCAGAUGAGUGGGAGGGAGAGAGACCUCUGCUCUAAACCACUUCCUCUCUUUUGGAUUUUGAAUCGUCUGAACACAUUACCUAUUCAAAAAAUUAUAUCAUUCCCAUUUUAAAAAAAGAACAUUUCAAAGGGGAGAUGAAGAGCUGGGAACUGAGCAGCUGAGAAUGAAGGCAGAGUCUGCACAGAUAGACUAGACAAAUAGCAAGGGACCUAGGCUUGGAGGUGGGAGCAGGAUCUGGGGACUCAGGACAGGGAGUCAGUUGGAGCAGAGUUGGAGGCCUUCUGGGGAAGACGAUGGCUGGGUUGCUUCAGGCUUGGAAGAAUUCAUCACACUGGUACCCAGAGUAACUUCAGCUUCACAAUCGCCUAUUGACCGGGCACCUGUUCCUGCCCCAGACGCUAUGCAAAUGCCGGCCAGGAGCGAAGCCGCCAGCCCCUCGGGCCAUUGUGCAUUGAACCCUGAUGGCGCCCUGCCAGCUCCCAGCCGGCCUUUGUUCACUAGCUGUGCUGAGCCACCCCCGCCACCGCCUCCGCCCGCCUGAGGUGCCCUGCCGAGGAACCGCUUGCUGACAGCCACUUGGGUCCUUGCACCUGAAGAAAGGCUGCUCAAUCUGGAGGCCAGGCCCACGCUGAGGCUGGGCCAGGGGCCCCGAGGAGAAGAGGCAGGCAGCUCGCAGGCUGGGGUCCUUAGCUCCUGUCCCCGGGGACCGCGGAGAGGGGCCUGGCAGGCGGAGGAGGGGGCAACCCGGACCAUGCCAUCUGGGGGCGGAGAGAUUAUAAUAAUCGCUCUCACAUCUGCUGAGGGCCUACCCGCCGCAAAGCCCUCUCAGGGCUGGUCUCCCUGCAGGCACACCUGCCUCUCGAAGAGGGCUAGAUUGUGCCUUUGGGGGUGGGGUGGGGAUUGUAGUCCUCUGGGGGGAGCUGGCUGAGAUCAAACAGUGGAGACAGGGGCUCAAACCCACGGGGGUGGAUGUCUCACUUCCCAGACUUUGGGUGUAAAGUUUGGCUGUUCUUCUUCAUCUCUUCUACCUGUCCUUUAGCAGGAUGGCUGACUCCUCGGCUUCAGGGUGCGACAGAUAGCUCUGCCUCAGUUGCUUUUCUUUCUGCAAAAGGAGUUUUAGGUUGUUCUGAUAGUUACAAUAGGCAAGGCUCUGCCAUCUAUUCCAACAUAACAAAUAAAGAGACAGGUAAUGAAAGGCAAAGAUGAAGUCAGUGUGGUCAUCCUAGAUAGAACAGAUAAGGGAAUCUAGUGAUCGAUCCCCCAGGUCCCAUUCUGAAGUACUGACAUGAACUUUAGGCUUACCAAGGAAGAGGGAAGAGGGGACAAAGGCAUAUGCAUAAUUAUGUAGUCUCUGUCAAAGUGUGGUCCCACCCAGCGCUGCCUCAGCUCUGGCCUUGGUGAGUUGUCCAAAGAAGUCCUUGUAAGGCCAAGAGGCAAGCUGGCUCCAAAAAGAUGAUAUCCUGCUCCAAGGUGCUACCACACCCUCACGGAUGACGGCCCUUGCCUGGGGUUUUCUGUCCAGCUAGAUGCUGUUGUUUCUGGAAUUCAUGGUCACUGACUACUUUGGGGGUCUGGACAGGACAAUAUAAAAAGCUGACAGUUAUCAUGCCUCAGUUUCCCAUCUUUGUGCCUUCAAUCUGGGAGUGGGGUGAGGUAGGCUGGAGUAGCCUUGGUUCUAGACAGCUCCUCCUGGGUGAUUAGUUUCUCUCUGUAUGGAGGCGUGCGGCUCACCCACAGUACAGUAAGCACAAAGGCAAGGUGAGGGUGCCAGGCUUUCACUCCACUUCAGUUGUCCUGUGGGUCUAGGGGAGGAGUAAAUAUAGUUUCUGAGUGCCUGAAAAAAGCAUCCUCCAUGCUGGGACAGGCUCCAAAGCUAGAUGGCAUCUCCUGGCACCCGCUGAAGUGCCAGCCCAUGGUCCCCAGUGCAGAGUCACUGAACCAAAGGCUGAGGUGGCACUGCUCUCCAGUUUUCAUGUCAUCUGACGCACAGACAAGUUUGAAGACCACCAACUCCCAAUCAGUGCUGGCUCUCCUGUAUCCAAGCCUUGGCUCACAUAAUUCCCUCCUUUAUAGCUCGGCUUCUCUCCCGAGACACCAAUGCCUCCCUACCUGAACUUUUUCUCACAUCCGAUGUUCCCAGGCUUAGGACAUCCAGACAAGUGAGGCCCACUUUUGAUCAAGGGUAGCGGGGUGUGAUGGUUUGUAUAUGCUCCAAGACAAGAACAUGGCACUAUUAGAUGGUUUGUAUAUGCUCCAGGGAGUGGCACUAUUAGAAGGUGUGGCCCUGUUGGAGUAGGUGUGUCAUUGUGGGUGUGGGCUUUAAGACCCUCAUCCUAAAUCCCGGCGUGGUGGCACACUCCUUUAAUCCCAGCACUCGGGAGGCAGAGGCAGGCGGAUUUCUGAGUUCAAGGCCAGCCUGAUCUACAAAGUGAGUUCCAGGACAGCCAGGGCUAUAGACGACAAAAACAAAACGAAACAAAAAACAAAACAAAACAAAACCUCAUCCUAGCAUGCCUGAAAGUCAGCCUUCUGCUGGCAGCUUUCAGAUGAAGAUGUAGAACUCUCAGCUCCUCCUGUCCCAUGCCUGCCUGGAUGCUGCCAUGUUCUUGCCUUGAUAUAAUGGACUGAACCUCUGAACCCUGUAAGCCAGCCCCAAUUAAAUGUUGUUAUUAUAAGAGUUGCCUUGGUCAUGGUGUCUG
This 4112-nucleotide long non-coding RNA is filed under the name Mus musculus (house mouse). Its description in RNAcentral is "Zmiz1 opposite strand 1". Lineage: Eukaryota; Metazoa; Chordata; Mammalia; Rodentia; Muridae. The record is from RNAcentral.